CAUUUUUGCUCAAUAUUUUCGCAAGGUGAAAUAUUCUCAGAAUUCACAUGUCUGUUAUUUGCUUUGAAAAUGGGUGUCGUCGCCCUGUUUUCCUCUCGGCUCUGAAGGACAUAGGUGGCUUGAAGAGUGCGCUGUGAUGUCAGAGACAAAGUGAAUUGCGCGGCCAACACCACCAGGUAAAUGUCACCUUGUGCCUGGCAGACUCUCCUACCUGCUUCUUGUGAAUUGGUGGGAUCAUCGGCCUCAACAUAGAGCAGCUCGAAGCCUCCUAGUACCGGGUGAGGCAAAGUCCAUUCUCAAGCCUGAUCACCCAGAUGGAACAGAGAAAUCUGUUACCGGCCUCUGAACAUCAACAGCGCAUAAUUAGCAGCUGCUAAAAUAAUGGAAGUCAAUUGAACAAAAAUGUGGCGCGUUCUGCCUUCAUUUAUUAAAUACCUUAUGUUUCCAAACACUGUGCUCCACAGCGGCUGAAGGGCCUUCGAGGGGCAUCGCAGCAAGUAUCCCUCCCUGGGCACCAGACACAAAGAACCGACUGACUUUUGUGAUGAACUUUCCAAACGAGCUGUUGCUACAGCCGACAAACCGACAAGCCGGCCGAGGGACCCGACUACUUCCCCUGAGCCCGACGACAAAAUAGAUUUGUCGCAAGCAAACUACAAUCUUCCUUUGAAGACAUGGAUGACAUAGUAAAACCGAUUGCACUUGAGAGCCGAUUCCAUGACUAUUUUGCUGCAACAGCGUGAAUGUCAUCACUCUUUCUUAUGCGAAGAUUGUGUCCAGAUCCAUGAAAUCAGCCAUGGCUUUGUUCAAAAUAUAAUAUCAGGAAUACAUAUGUUGAGGAGCAAGAAUUCUCUGUCCCCUUUCAAGUCCUGGGGGGACUACGAAUCAAAUUGACAAGAGACAGGUAAAUGGGAGAAAAUCAAAUUUAAUUUUGUAUGUAGACAUACAUACAAUUUUUUUUGUAUGUAUUUUGUAUUUUGUAUGUAUUUGUAUGUAUUUUGUAUGUAGACACACAGAUAGAGACAUUCCUAGGGUAGUCAGGCAAAAUUAAGGAUGCAUGUCAUCCUGAAAUAAGGAGAAGGGAGUAAAGAUCUGGGACUUCAACAGGAAAGGAAUGCAGUUC
This 1123-nucleotide long non-coding RNA is filed under the name Vulpes vulpes (red fox). RNAcentral's name for it is "lncRNA (ENSVVUG00000010236.1)". Lineage: Eukaryota; Metazoa; Chordata; Mammalia; Carnivora; Canidae. The record is from RNAcentral.